UGGCUGUCAUGGUCAAAAAGUUAGGAGAUCACCUUGAGCCUGUUGGGCGUCGCUUCACACACCCACUUGUUCAGUCGUGCCUUGCUCGGAAUUUCGGGUCGUUCAUCGUACUCGUGUGUGCAGACCACGAUCGCUACGGAACGUUAAGUCAUUGGAAGUGACACUUGAGGGAAGCGAUUCUGCAGAGACUCUUCCACCCGGAGUUGGCGAUGUGAGAUUACACACUGGCAAGAUAUGCGAAGUCCCAGGUUCGAUGUGGGUGACCAACUUUUUU
Molecule: signal recognition particle RNA, 274 nt
Filed under: Fonsecaea pedrosoi CBS 271.37
Lineage: Eukaryota; Fungi; Ascomycota; Eurotiomycetes; Chaetothyriales; Herpotrichiellaceae
Description: Fungal signal recognition particle RNA
Rfam family: Fungal signal recognition particle RNA
Source: Rfam by way of RNAcentral